GUCCGGACCGCAGCAGUUCGGGCUGGACAGCAGCAGCUACCCAGAACCUCCGAAGGCCGCUCAUCUUUAUGACACCAAAGGGAGCGACACCAACCUCUUCAACCUAGACUCGUACCCGGACUUCACCUGGUGGAGCUCCUCCUACCCCCACGACGGACCGGACCAAACCGGGUACCUGGAGCCCC
This is a long non-coding RNA of Nematolebias whitei (Rio pearlfish), 185 nucleotides long. RefSeq lists it as uncharacterized. The transcript has 3 exons. NCBI's taxonomy places the organism in Eukaryota, Metazoa, Chordata, Actinopteri, Cyprinodontiformes, Rivulidae. The record is from RefSeq and is a predicted model, not a curated record.